CCUACGGGUGGCAGCAGUGAGGAAUAUUGGUCAAUGGGCGGAAGCCUGAACCAGCCAAGUCGCGUGAGGGAGUAAGGCCCUAUGGGUUGUAAACCUCUUUUGUCAGGGAGCAAUUGGCGCUACGUGUAGCGUUAUCGAGAGUACCUGAAGAAUAAGCAUCGGCUAACUCCGUGCCAGCAGCCGCGGUAAUACGGAGGAUGCGAGCGGUAUCCGGAUUUAUUGGGUUUAAAGGGUGCGUAGGCGGAAUGCCAAGUCAGCGGUAAAAGCGCGGGCCUCAACCUCGCUCCGCCGUUGAAACUGGCGUUCUUGAGUGGGCGAGAAGUAUGCGGAAUGCGUGGUGUAGCGGUGAAAUGCAUAGAUAUCACGCAGAACUCCGAUUGCGAAGGCAGCAUACCGGCGCCCAACUGACGCUGAAGCACGAAAGCGUGGGUAUCGAACAGGAUUAGAUACCCCAGUAGUC
Molecule: ribosomal RNA, 460 nt
Filed under: uncultured bacterium
Lineage: Bacteria
Description: partial 16S ribosomal RNA
Rfam family: Bacterial small subunit ribosomal RNA
Source: RNAcentral